This 216-nucleotide ribosomal RNA is filed under the name Glomeromycotina sp. RNAcentral's name for it is "partial small subunit ribosomal RNA". The stretch from base 40 to 216 matches the Rfam family "Eukaryotic small subunit ribosomal RNA", at positions 686 to 864 of the family's 1831-position model. The record is from RNAcentral. Lineage: Eukaryota; Fungi; Glomeromycota.
GGGUCAGUAGGUUGGUCGUGCUACCGGUACGUACUGGUCUCACUGAUUCCUCCUUCCUGAAGAACCGUAAUGCCAUUAAUUUGGUGUUGCGGGGAAACAGGACUGUUACUUUGAAAAAAUUAGAGUGUUUAAAACAAGCUAACGCUUGAAUACAUUAGCAUGGAAUAAUGAAAUAGGACGAUCGAUCCUAUUUUGUUGGUUUCUAGGAUUGACGUA